RNAcentral lists this ribosomal RNA (406 nucleotides) under uncultured bacterium. RNAcentral's name for it is "partial 16S ribosomal RNA". It matches the Rfam family "Bacterial small subunit ribosomal RNA", at positions 30 to 526 of the family's 1533-position model. The record is from RNAcentral.
AUUGAACGCUGGCGGCAGGCCUAACACAUGCAAGUCGAACGAGUGGCGGACGGGUGAGUAAUGUCUGGGAAACUGCCUGAUGGAGGGGGAUAACUACUGGAAACGGUAGCUCAUACCGCAUACCAUCAGAUGUGCCCAAAUGGGAUUAGCUUGUAGGUGGGGUAACGGCUCACCAAGGCGACGAUCCCUAGCUUGUCUGAGAGGCUGACAAGCCACACUGGGACGGAGACACGGCCCAGACUCCUACGGGAGGCAGCAGUGGGGAAUAUUGAACAAUGGGCGCAAGCCUGAUGCAGCCAUGCCGCGUGGAUGAAGAAGGCCUUCGGGUUGUAAAGUACUUUCAGGCGGGAGGCGUUACCCGCAGAAGAAGCACCGGCUAACUCCGUGCCAGCAGCCGCGGUAAUAC